This 403-nucleotide ribosomal RNA is filed under the name bacterium. Its description in RNAcentral is "partial 16S ribosomal RNA". It matches the Rfam family "Bacterial small subunit ribosomal RNA", at positions 355 to 776 of the family's 1533-position model. The record is from RNAcentral.
UGGGGAAUAUUGCACAAUGGGGGAAACCCUGAUGCAGCGACGCCGCGUGAACGAAGAAGGUAUUCGUAUCGUAAAGUUCUGUCCUAUGGGAAGAUAAUGACAGUACCAUAGAAGAAAGCUUCGGCUAAAUACGUGCCAGCAGCCGCGGUAAUACGUAUGGAGCGAGCGUUGUCCGGAAUUAUUGGGCGUAAAGGGUACGCAGGCGGCUUAAUAAGUCGAAUGUUAAAGAUCGGGGCUCAACCCCGCAAAGCAUUGGAAACUGAUAAACUUGAGUAGUGGAGAGGAAAGUGAAAUUCCUAGUAUAGUGGUGAAAUACGUAGAUAUUAGGAGGAAUACCAGUAGCGAAGGCGACGUUCAGGACACAAACUGACGCUGAGGUACGAAAGCGUGGGGAGCAAACAGG